This is a long non-coding RNA of Trichomycterus rosablanca, 432 nucleotides long. RefSeq lists it as uncharacterized. The record is from RefSeq and is a predicted model, not a curated record. NCBI's taxonomy places the organism in Eukaryota, Metazoa, Chordata, Actinopteri, Siluriformes, Trichomycteridae. The transcript has 3 exons.
UGGCUCUUGGCUCAAGCUUCACCACGGAAGCCUGGAUAGAGAAAGUGAUUAUCAUGGGAGCCGUUCAGCCCAGCUCAGUCUUUUUGAAGACCACAGAAAUUUGGCUCUUGGCUCAAGCUUCACCACGGAAGCCUGGAUAGAGAAAGUGAUUAUCAUGGGAGCCGUUCAGCCCAGCUCAGUCUUUUUGAAGACCACAGAAAUUUGGCUCUUGGCUCAAGCUUCACCACGGAAGCCUGGAUAGAGAAAGUGAUUAUCAUGGGAGCCGUUCAGCCCAGCUCAGUCUUUUUGAAGACCACAGGUAAAAAUGUUUUGAUCAUUCCACCCAGCCCUAAUCCAAAUAGAAAUAUCAGCAGGGAAGGACCAUCCAGACUGUUAUCAGUGAAAGGUUCAAAAGCCAACUGUCAUGGUAUGGAGAUGCAUCAGUGCCCACGU